Molecule: transfer RNA, 76 nt
Filed under: Schumannella luteola
Lineage: Bacteria; Bacillati; Actinomycetota; Actinomycetes; Micrococcales; Microbacteriaceae
Also listed under: 1 other name
Description: tRNA-Asn
Rfam family: tRNA
About the family: Transfer RNA (tRNA) molecules are approximately 80 nucleotides in length. Their secondary structure includes four short double-helical elements and three loops (D, anti-codon, and T loops).
Source: RNAcentral
UCCUCCAUAGCUCAAUUGGCAGAGCAAUCGGCUGUUAACCGAUAGGUUUCUGGUUCGAGUCCAGAUGGGGGAGCCA